RNAcentral lists this ribosomal RNA (425 nucleotides) under uncultured bacterium. RNAcentral's name for it is "bacterial SSU rRNA". It matches the Rfam family "Bacterial small subunit ribosomal RNA", at positions 354 to 796 of the family's 1533-position model. The record is from RNAcentral.
GUGGGGAAUAUUGGACAAUGGGCGCAAGCCUGAUCCAGCCAUGCCGCGUGAGUGAUGAAGGCCUUAGGGUUGUAAAGCUCUUUUGUCCGGGAAGAUAAUGACUGUACCGGAAGAAUAAGCCCCGGCUAACUUCGUGCCAGCAGCCGCGGUAAUACGAAGGGGGCUAGCGUUGUUCGGAAUCACUGGGCGUAAAGCGCACGUAGGCGGACCAUUAAGUCAGGGGUGAAAGCCUGGAGCUCAACUCCAGAACUGCCUUUGAUACUGAUGGUCUCGAGUAUGGAAGAGGUUGGUGGAACUGCGAGUGUAGAGGUGAAAUUCGUAGAUAUUCGCAAGAACACCGGUGGCGAAGGCGGCCAACUGGUCCAUUACUGACGCUGAGGUGCGAAAGCGUGGGGAGCAAACAGGAUUAGAAACCCUUGUAGUCC